Setaria italica (foxtail millet) is the source of this 3491-nucleotide RNA transcript. It is a transcript of the gene named putative disease resistance RPP13-like protein 3, with no coding region annotated. Lineage: Eukaryota; Viridiplantae; Streptophyta; Magnoliopsida; Poales; Poaceae. The transcript has 3 exons. The record is from RefSeq and is a predicted model, not a curated record.
CAUCGGGUUCCUUCGCAGUCACACCACGCCGUCCUUACCAUUUAUUUGCUUGGGCCCUAGGAGCAGCAGUGCCACAUUCGGUAUACGAGUGAAAUAUUUCCAUGCAAUCUCUUGAGGUCUAGAUCUCCAUCAAGAUAGAACAACCCUCCACCAUCCACACUCAUGCGCCAUGGAGAAAGCCGUAGUGAGUGCGGCGACCGGAGCGAUGAGCUCCGUCCUCGUAAAGCUGGCGGAGCUGCUCCAUGAGAAGUACAAGCUUGCCAAGGGGGUCCGCAAGGAUAUCGAGUUCCUCAGGUCAGAGCUCGGCGUCAUGAAUGACCUGCUGUAUGUGAUGGCAGACAUCGAGGAGCUCGACGCCCUCAACAAGGGGUGGCGGGACAGGGUGCGGGAGCUGGCCUAUGACGUCGAGGAUUGCAUCGAUCGCUCUGUGGCCCGGUUCCGUCAUACUGGCGGCGAUGCCAGCAAAGGCGGGUUCUUCGGCACCAAGCAGCUGGCACGGAAGUUCAAGAAAAUCAGAGUGUCUUUUCAGAUCGGUCACCAGAUACAAGAGCUCAAGGCUCGUGUCAUCGAGGAGAGCGAUCGACAGAAGAGAUACAAGCUUGAUGGCCUCAUCGGAUCCAGCUCCGAUGCUUCACGUAAUAAGGUUGACCUCCGGAUGUGCGCGCUUUGGGAGGAGACGAAGAAUCUCGUCGGACUCAAUGGACCCAUGGAUGAGGUCAUCCGCUUGUUGAUGCCUGCAGAGGGAGAGAUGCCCUCGCAGCAAGUCAGGACUUUGUCCAUCGUUGGGUGUGCAGGCUUGGGCAAGACCACUCUCGCCAAUCAGGUGUACCAGAAAAUUCAAGGCCAUUUUGAGUGCAAAGCCUUUGUACCGGUGUCUCAGAACCCUAACAUUAAGGAUAUACUGAUGAAGAUUUGUUCUCAAGUUGGAGCAACCCCAAGCAUGGCGGAUGAUGAGUUCCUUCUCGUCAACAAGCUCCGAGAGCGACUCCAGUACAAAAGGUACAUUGCUGUAGUGGAUGAUAUAUGGCACUCCGAUCCAUGGAAGAUCAUUGGACAAGCAUUGGUCAGUACUAGCCCUGGUAGCAUAAUAAUCGUGACAACACGUCUGAAAGAUGUAGCCGAGUCAUGUUGUUCUUCUCACGGUGGUCGUGUUUAUGAUAUGAGACCUCUAGACGACAAUGACUCUAGAAGGUUGUUUUUCAAAAGAAUUUUUGACUCUGAAGAUAAGUGUCCUCAUGAGCUGGAAAGAACUUCUGAAGAUAUACUAGAAAAGUGUGAUGGCAUACCACUUGCAAUAAUUUCGAUAUCCAGCUUCUUGGCAUUUGAUGUACCACAAUCACCUGAUCACUGGAACAAGGUGAAAGAAUCUAUCACUUCUCCGCUUCCAGGGAAUAAGUCUGCUGAGACCAUGAAAUCAGUAUUAUCACUCAGUUACUUGAAUCUGCCACACCAUCUGAGGACUUGCCUGUUGUACUUGAGUGCAUUUCCAGAAGAUUGCAUAAUCGAAAGCGAUCAUUUGAUAAGCAGAUGGAUUGCAGAAGGAUUUGUUAAUGCAGAAUCAGGAGAGAGUCUAUAUGAAGCAGGGCUAAGGUAUUUCAAUAUUCUGAUAAACCGGAGCUUGAUCCAACCGUGGAAUCGGCUGAGAGGUGUGGUGGUGAGCUGUAAAGUUCACGAUGUCAUCCUUAAUUUCCUUGUGUCCAAAUCAGUUGAGGAGAACUUUCUUACUUUGUCGGUCCCAUCCAGGCUCCCAACUUCUCUCCAUAGCAAGGUUCGUCGCCUAUCUCUCCAGAAUAGCUACCAAGAGAAUGUAGUUUCAUGGAUACAGUCUAUUAAGCCUUAUGUCCGGUCACUUGCAUGCUCUGUGGACUGCAAAGAAUUGUUUCCUCUGACGGAGUUUGAAGUUGUACGUGUGUUAGACCUUGAAGACUUUGAGCCAUUGACAAAUGCGCACCUUGCAAAUAUAGAGGUGUUACUUCAGUUGCGGUAUUUGAACAUUAAUGGAACAGGUGUCAGUGAGCUCCCUGCUGGAAUUGGACAAGUCCAUAAUUUAGAAACAUUAGAUAUAAGAUACACUCAAGUGGAAAAAUUGCCGUCAACUAUUGUUCGACUUGAAAAGUUGGCACGUCUUAUCGUCAGUCCAAAAGUCAAGUUCCCAGCAGAAGGCUUCAGCAAGAUGAAAGGAUUGGAACAACUAUCACGUUUCUCGAUCCACGGGCAACCACUCAGCUUUCUAAAAGAGCUAGGCCAGCUUACCAACCUGAGAACCCUAGAAGCUGUUUGCGAUGGCAUUCUCGAUGUCAAUUAUGAAGGUAGCGGGUGGGGGAUCUUCACUUCUUCACUCCAAGCACUGUGCAGCCAUAAACUUCUAGAUGUUGACAUAUGUAUGAUGGGCCCCAUCUCCAUGGAUUCCUCCUUCUCUACUCUGCAAAGCCUCCGGACAUUUGUCAUUUGGCCCAUCAGCAGUCUCCCUAUCUGGAUGGGCUUACUUGUUAAUCUCGAGUUGUUAGAACUCGAAACUAAACGAUUCACUUCGGAGGAUUUGCGAGUGCUUGGUGGCAUGCCGGCUCUUGAGACCCUUAUAUUGUAUAUUGCCGACACCUAUGCUUGUCCUUUCACCAUCCGAGGACACGAAUUCCAGCGCCUCAAAUCAUUCAGGGUUGGCGAACUCUACCAAAUUUUGUUUAUGCCUGGUGCUAUGCCUAACCUGAAGCACCUCAAAAUUGGACUCGCCUUCACCUCAAAUAGUUACAUCGAUCUCGGCAUCCAGCACCUUGCCAGCCUCACCAGGGUCGAUGUGGGUAUGAAUGCCUGGAGUCACCAGAGUCGGCGUGGGAAUCGUGAAGAUCUGGAGGCCAAAAUCCGGAGCUUACUUGACGCACAUCCCAAUCGUCCCACACUAAUCUUCAAUACAUUUCUUUAGGACGAUCGCUAUUCACUAAAAGGGUUGGAAAAAUGAAUAAUAAGCAGUAGCUUCACGAUAGCAAGGAUCCUUGUCAACCAGUCUUUCGGUUCGUCCGUCCAGUCUUGUUUACCAUUGGCCGAGGGUUUGGUGGUGUAAUGCGUGGAUCUGCCAGGGGGAGGGGAGGAAUGGGGGAAUGGUCUGCUCGCCAGUCGCCACAGAGCUGAGCUGAGGACCGUCUCUGCCAGGUGGGGCCAGGGAAGCAGCCACACAGCGUGAGAGUGAUGAAGCGUUUGUGUGAUGGGCCGGGCUGCGCCGUGCGUGCAUCAUCACAUUCGACGGAAGCCCAGCAAGGCAGGCAGCCUUCUUAAUUUUGGAAAAAAAAUUCUUUUCAAAAUUUUCCUUUUGGCUAAUUACCGGACUGCCAAGCUAUAAGAUUGGCAAUUUCUCUAUGAUCAUCUGCAAAGAACCAAUUGAGGGGACCUCUUUUAAAAAAGUUGUCCAGUCAAAUAAUACACACAACUAACACUCGCUCCUUCCACAAUUUAGCAGAAUGAGCAGAUAAGUUGCCUCAGUUGUGGGCGAAGGUCAA